GGUUGAUCCUGCCAGUAGUCAUAUGCUUGUCUUAAAAAUUAAGCCAUGCAAGUCUAAGUAUAAACGAAUUUAUUCAGUGAGACUGCAGAAGGCUCAUUAUAUCAGUUAUUGUCUAUGCGAUGGGCAAUUACUACAUGGAUAACUGUAGUAAUUCUAGAGCUAAUACAUGCCAUAAAGCAUCUCUCUGAGGUGUGGCCUUAUUAGAACUAAAGCCAGCCCGAUUAUUCGGAGCCUUGGUGAUUCAUAAUAAUGAUACCCAAUCGCACUUUUGUGUGAAGCAUCGCUAGAAUUU
RNAcentral lists this ribosomal RNA (292 nucleotides) under uncultured eukaryote. RNAcentral's name for it is "partial 18S ribosomal RNA". It matches the Rfam family "Eukaryotic small subunit ribosomal RNA", at positions 6 to 306 of the family's 1831-position model. The record is from RNAcentral.